GUUUUAUUAAAACUCCACCAAACACUGCUUGAUUAUGUUUAGGAUAACAAGCUAGCCCAGCUUGACGUAGUUGGCUCAGCACAAGCCAUUAACAAAGGCUGAAAUGGCCAGUCAUCAACCCAUUAAAAGAAGCCAUCACAAGUCUGGAGACUGCCAGGCACACAAGGGGAGGUUGCCAAGGGGCAAUGAAGUAAGCAGAAGAGGAAGUCACAUUUGGCAAGGGUUUCUGGGAAGAAAAAGGAGGAGGAUAGGCAGAAGCCAUGCAGGUGACUGGAGCAGGCUGAUGGCACAGAGGCAC
Molecule: long non-coding RNA, 298 nt
Filed under: Podarcis lilfordi (Lilford's wall lizard)
Lineage: Eukaryota; Metazoa; Chordata; Lepidosauria; Squamata; Lacertidae
Source: RNAcentral